This 864-nucleotide ribosomal RNA is filed under the name uncultured bacterium. RNAcentral describes it as "bacterial SSU rRNA". It matches the Rfam family "Bacterial small subunit ribosomal RNA", at positions 96 to 953 of the family's 1533-position model. The record is from RNAcentral.
CGGCGGACUGGUGAGUAACGCGUGGGUGAUCUACCUUGGGCAUGGGGAUAGCCAUUAGAAAUAGUGGGUAAUACCGAAUACGUUCGCGACCGUGAGGGUCGUGAGGAAAGGUGCUACGGCACCGGCCUGAAGAUGAGCCCGCGUCCCAUUAGCUAGUUGGUGAGGUAACGGCCCACCAAGGCGAUGAUGGGUAGCCGGCCUGAGAGGGUGUACGGCCACACUGGGACUGAGAUACGGCCCAGACUCCUACGGGAGGCAGCAGCUAAGAAUAUUCCGCAAUGGACGAAAGUCUGACGGAGCGACGCCGCGUGGAUGAAGAAGGCCGAAAGGUUGUAAAGUCCUUUUGCUGGGGAAGAAUAAGUCUGGGAGGGAAUGCCCGGAUGAUGACAUGAACCGGCGAAUAAGCCCCGGCCAACUACGUGCCAGCAGCCGCGGUAACACGUAGGGGGCGAGCGUUGUUCGGAAUUACUGGGCGUAAAGGGCAUGUAGGCGGCUUUGUAAGCUUGGCGUGAAAGACCAUGGCUCAACCAUGGGACUGCGUUGAGAACUGCGAGGCUUGAGUGACGGAGAGGGAGCUAGAAUUCCUGGUGUAGGGGUGGAAUCUGUAGAGAUCAGGAAGAAUACCAAUGGCGAAGGCAAGCUCCUGGCCGAUGACUGACGCUGAGGUGCGAAAGUGUGGGGAUCAAACAGGAUUAGAUACCCUGGUAGUCCACACUGUAAACGAUGUGCACUAGGUGCUGGGGCGGAUGCUUCAGUGCCGUAGCUGACGUGAUAAGUGCACCGCCCGGGGAGUAUGCUCGCAAGGGUGAAACUCAAGGAAUUGACGGGGGCCCGCACAAGCGGUGGAGCAUGUGGUUUAAUUCG